RNAcentral lists this ribosomal RNA (485 nucleotides) under uncultured bacterium. RNAcentral's name for it is "partial 16S ribosomal RNA". It matches the Rfam family "Bacterial small subunit ribosomal RNA", at positions 28 to 523 of the family's 1533-position model. The record is from RNAcentral.
GACGAACGCUGGCGGCGUGCUUAACACAUGCAAGUCGAACGGUGAAAGCGGAGCUUGCUCCGCUGGAUCAGUGGCGAACGGGUGAGUAAAACGUGGGCAACCUGCCCUUCACUUCGGGAUAACUCCGGGAAACCGGGGCAAAUACCGGAUAUGUGCUCUGCGGGCAUCCGGGGAGGUGGAACGUUUUUCGGUGAAGGAUGGGCCCGCGGCCUAUCAGCUUGUUGGGGAGGUAGUGGCUCACCAAGGCGACGACGGGUAGCCGGCCUGAGAGGGCGACCGGCCACACUGGGACUGAGACACGGCCCAGACUCCUACGGGAGGCAGCAGUGGGGAAUAUUGCGCAAUGGGCGAAAGCCUGACGCAGCAACGCCGCGUGCGGGAUGACGGCCUUCGGGUUGUAAACCGCUUUCAGCAGGGAAGAAGCCGCAAGGUGACGGUACCUGCAGAAGAAGCACCGGCUAACUACGUGCCAGCCGCCGCCGUAA